RNAcentral lists this long non-coding RNA (486 nucleotides) under Rhinopithecus bieti (black snub-nosed monkey). Its description in RNAcentral is "lncRNA (ENSRBIG00000045348.1)". The record is from RNAcentral. Lineage: Eukaryota; Metazoa; Chordata; Mammalia; Primates; Cercopithecidae.
GUCCCACAUGGGUGAAACCAAAGCCCAGGGAGACCAGUGGACUUACCCAAUUUCACAAGGGAAGUAAGACCACACUUGGAACUUUACAGCUCCAGAUAGCGUGAUUUACAAAAGAAUAGGGAUAGCCUGGAGUUUGACUGGAGGAAGGAAACUAGGGUUAUGGUGGAUGGAGAAGUGACCUGCUUUUAGAGGAAACCAUGUGAGUCGGGGACUAGCAGGAAUUAAGCUUCAGGAGUGCCCUGGCAGGAAGUCUCCCCUAAUGCAGGUCCUCAGGAAAGUGGCUGUCAGUGAAAGCAGAGUGAAGAACUAUUAGCAGUGACCUUGGACUCCAGGACAGAGGAAGCGUUCUCGUGAAAGAUGAAAUGGAGAAGAGGCCUUUCUAAGAGAAGAAAUCCUCAUCUUCAUGCAAGGGCUGUGGCCUCAUCUCGCCCUCUUCCCUCCCAGCUGGACUGGAAACUAGAUUGGGCUGGCUGCCAGCCCUUGUAG